RNAcentral lists this ribosomal RNA (381 nucleotides) under uncultured archaeon. RNAcentral's name for it is "bacterial SSU rRNA". It matches the Rfam family "Archaeal small subunit ribosomal RNA", at positions 345 to 727 of the family's 1478-position model. The record is from RNAcentral.
AACCUUUACAAUGCACGAAAGUGUGAUAAGGGAAUCCCAAGUGCUUUGCUUUUAGUAAGGCUUUUGCCAAAUGUAAAAAGUUUGGCGAAUAAGUGGUGGGCAAGACUUGUGCCAGCCGCCGCGGUAACACCAGCGCCACAAGUGGCAACCAGUUUUAUUGGGCCUAAAGCGUCCGUAGCCGGUUCAGCAAAUUUUCUGUGAAAUCGUAAGGCUUAACUUAACGUCGUGCAGGAAAGACUACUGGACUAGGGACCGGGAGGCGUCAGAGGUAUUCCCAAGGGAGCGGUAAAAUGCUAUAAUCUUGGGAGGACCCCCUGUGGCGAAGGCGUCUGACGAGAACGGAUCCGACGGUGAGGGACGAAAGCCAGGGGAGCAAACCGG